AAGUGAGGACUAAUAAUCAGGAUGGAAAUGAUCAUUUGGUGCCUUAUGCUGGAGUUAGUCACUAAGCAGUAAUGCAUACUUCCCUGUGUGUCUGCGUGUUUUUUAAGCCCAGUGUUUUACUCUUUUUCCUCCUGCCUGCUCUGGAAGGGGCGGGUCCUCCGUGAUGACGGCUGAGUGUGUCACAGCGCUGAUUGGCUGACUCGCUCGCUAACUUGUUGCUGUGAGUUUGUGCUGCUGGUGUUGACCGCGGCUCAGUCCGGCGUCUCGGAUUCACUGUUUUUAACGGGUUUAUUGACACCAGCGGCAGCAGCCAUGAGGACUUUAUUUACCUGCAGUGCUUCGGGAAAGACGCGCUGCCGUCUUCGCUAGCUAAUCAUGAUGGCCGCGACGGAACCGGAGAAACCAGUGUGCAGGAAAAGUCCCGAGAGCUGGAAACGACACAUCAUACGACAGCUGAAGAGUCGGGAUAAGGCGCAGAAGAUCCUCUUCCAGGAUGUGAUUCGGUCCUAUGUGAACCUGUUGGAGCGGUGUACACAGAAAGCCUUCAUCACCAAAGGUAUCCUCUCAGCGACCAGGCCCCUUCUGCUUCCUUCCUCUGAAGAUUCACUGAAGACAGCCACUGGCGAGCUUGCUUACCAAGUUGUGGAGCUGAGGCAGGAGAUUAAAAUCAAGGAAGCUAUUCUUGACGAGCAACAUGCCAGGCUAAAUGAGCUGCAGGAUGGUCUUAAGGCAGGGCAGGUGGAGCACAGCACCCUGCAGACAUGUGUGUUGGAAGUGCAGGAGAGGAACCAGCUGCUGAAGAGAGAUUACGACGCCCUGCUGGAGUGCUGUCAGCACAUGGAUGCAGUUUACCGCAAGGAGAAGCUCCAUGGCUCUGAACUGGUCGAGGACAUGGUCCGUUGGAAACAGCAGGCUGCUGCCCGCAUGAACUCGCGCAACGAGAGGAGAGUCAGGGCCAGAGAGGCGGGGCGUCAUAAGGAACUCGAAGUGGCGGCCAGUAAGAAGCUUAACAUUGAAGAAAUUCCCCAAAGUGCUUCUUUACCCUCAUCACCUUUGUCUCCGAGGAGUGAGACUGGAGAGAAGGUAGAAAGAAGCCAUGGACGACUUUUCAGGUCUGCUUCAGCUACCUCACCUAGAAUUCUCGGCUCCAUCCGAGAUCUGUUCGAUAAGAAAAGACGAGGGAAUUCUGUGUGUAGUUUGGAAGAGGACCUGUUUACACCUCUAGGAAUUUGUCUAGCUGCUAGAGUUCCAGCCAAAGCUAUUUAUUCACUGGACGCUCAUGAGCAGGGAAUUAAUGCAGUGAGAUUCAGUCCCAGAUCAAACCUGCUGGCUACUGGAGGCACAGACAGAGUCAUCAAACUGUGGGACAUCAAAGCAGGAAUGCUACACAACAGAGGGACACUAGAUGGGAGUAAUGAGGGAAUCACCAGCAUCGAGUUUGACUCCACGGGAACCCGAAUUUUAGCUGCGUCAUACGACAAGUCAGCUCUGUUUUGGCGGUUGGACGACUGUGUUCCCAAGUUUACGCUGACGGGUCAUUCUCGCAAAGUGACAGCAGCCAGGUUUAAGUGCAACCUCAGGCAGGUGGUGACUGGAAGCGCUGAUAGAACAGUGAAGAUCUGGGAUCUGCAGCGGACUGCCUGCAUACAAACCAUUGAGGUGUUGUCUUACUGCAGUGAUGUGGUGUGUUCUGAAUAUUACAUCAUCAGUGGACAUUAUGACAGAAAAAUCCGUUUCUGGGACAGCAGGGCAGCCAGCUGUACACAGGAGGUGCCCUUACAGGGCAAAGUGACAUCCCUGGACAUCUCACCCAACCACAGGGAGCUGUUAAGCUGCUCAAGAGAUGAGAGCCUUCAGUUGGUUGACCUGAGGAUGAGCAACACCAGAAUGGCCUUUAGGGCAGAGGGCUUCAAAUGUGGAAGUGACAGCACCAAGGCCAUUUUCAGAUGGAAGUUACCUGGUGGCAGGCUCUGCUGAUGGUGCUGUGUACGUCUGGAACGUUAGCACAGGCAAGCUGGAAACUCGACUCUCAGAUAAACACAGAUGCUCAGUUAAUGCAGUGGCAUGGUCAAUGUCAGGCGAGUACGUGGUGAGUGUAGAUAAGAGCCGGCGAGCCAUUCUCUGGAGCAACAUCUGAACCUGGAGAUACAUGGCUGUGCUCCUGUUGCUGAAAAAACCCACCAGACUCUGUAAUGUCCAGUCAUCCAUACUCAGCAUCUGAAGAACAGCCCAGCAUGUUCAAUUCACAAACUCCUACUGCUGAACUUCACUGUUUUUCACUGCCAAUAAACCCCAAAACACCCACAGCCAGCAUGCUAAAAUAAGCUGGUCUGGCUUCAUACAGCAGUUUGGAUCUGUUGGAUACCUCUAUGUUCAUUUGUUUGAAUAUUACUGACAGUAUGCAUAAGAAAAGCAUUUCUUAGAUGACAUUUAGAGUACCUAUAAAGCAAAGCAAGAGUGUUACCAAAAUACCACUCAUACAAUCAAAUCACAUGGUUUAAAGAUGCAAAAACUGAAGUGACCUUGUUUUGACAUAUUUGUUUCGUAUGCUAUUUUAAUGAAUGUUUCUGUAUUUAUAAUAUAUUUGAUCUGUAGGCAGUGAUUUUGAAACCACUCAGAGGGCUUCAGGUGGACUUUUUCUAGCCAGAUACUUUUACAUACUCAUUUGUUAGAUAGACUCAUUUGUUAAAGAUAUCCUGUGGCGUUUUCUUAAAGGUAAAGCUCAGAUUUGUUUACACUGUAAAUUUUCCACCAGUGGACUGUGUUGUUGUUGGUGUCUAAACUGAAAGGUGAAUAAAAUUUCUUGCCGUAAUACACAA
RNA transcript from Astyanax mexicanus (Mexican tetra), 2819 nucleotides. It is a transcript of the gene named protein Atg16l2, with no coding region annotated. Lineage: Eukaryota; Metazoa; Chordata; Actinopteri; Characiformes; Acestrorhamphidae. The record is from RefSeq and is a predicted model, not a curated record. The transcript is spliced from 18 exons.